Small nuclear RNA from Vicugna pacos (alpaca), 107 nucleotides. The record is from Ensembl. NCBI's taxonomy places the organism in Eukaryota, Metazoa, Chordata, Mammalia, Artiodactyla, Camelidae.
GUGCUUGCUUCGGCAGCACAUGUACUAAAAUCGGAACAAUACAGAGAAGAUUAGCAUGGCUCCCGCGCAAGGAUGGCACGCAAAUCCGUGAAGCUUAAAAAAAAAAA